Molecule: unclassified non-coding RNA, 253 nt
Filed under: uncultured Gammaproteobacteria bacterium
Lineage: Bacteria; Pseudomonadati; Pseudomonadota; Gammaproteobacteria
Description: contains 16S-23S intergenic spacer region
Rfam family: Bacterial small subunit ribosomal RNA
Source: RNAcentral
UACGGAGGGUGCAAGCGUUAAUCGGAAUUACUGGGCGUAAAGCGCGCGUAGGUGGUUUGGUAAGUCGGAUGUGAAAGCCCCGGGCUCAACCUGGGAAUUGCAUUCGAUACUGCUGAACUAGAGUAUGGUAGAGGGAAGUGGAAUUCCGCAUGUAGCGGUGAAAUGCAUAGAGAUGCGGAGGAACACCAGUGGCGAAGGCGACUUCCUGGACCAAUACUGACACUGAGGUGCGAAAGCGUGGGGAGCAAACAGG